Molecule: long non-coding RNA, 669 nt
Organism: Glycine soja
Lineage: Eukaryota; Viridiplantae; Streptophyta; Magnoliopsida; Fabales; Fabaceae
Exons: 3
Source: RefSeq, a predicted model, not a curated record
AAGAGGAAGAAACACAUUAUAAAUUCUGAUGUGAUUCAUGAUUACCUGAAAUUGCAGGUGCCGCAAUGUUAGCUCCUAUGAUUAAUCCAUAUGAACCGCACAUGACUAAGAGGAGAUUUUAUGUAUUCGUUAGCACUGACUUUUGUUUCUGUAUUGGCAAUAGUGAAGUGGAUUAAUGUCAGCUGGAAAGUGUUGCUAGAGGAAGUGUCAAACAAGAGGCAUACUUCUAUUGUUGAAGUCCACGUACAGUCAGGCAGAAUGUGAAUUAGCAGGAUUUCUUGGUCAUAUACACAUAUGGCAGGGAUUGGACAAUAGAGUGGUCCCACCCUGAAUGACGGAAUACAUAUCACGGGUAUUGCCUUCUAAACGAGCGAGGGCCACUUCUCCUAUUUCUAUUUCUGUGAUGUGUGCCAUAGGAAGAUUUUUUCCACUCUUUUUGGAAUCCCACAAGGUCCCGUUGAACGACAAGAGGAAACUGCAUUCGAGGAAAAUACGCUUUAAAAUCAAAUGAGACAAUUUUGGUUGUCCCAUUUUUAUAGUUUAAGGAACAUUUUGUUUUAUUUUCUGCGUCUAAAUAACACGGUAUAUGUACCAAUGUACCUGAAGUGGGGAAAACAAAAGGUAUGUGGCGUAUUCCUUACGCGUAUCAAAAUACCAACAUCAUGUCAA